Solanum tuberosum (potato) is the source of this 213-nucleotide long non-coding RNA. RefSeq lists it as uncharacterized. The transcript is spliced from 2 exons. Lineage: Eukaryota; Viridiplantae; Streptophyta; Magnoliopsida; Solanales; Solanaceae. The record is from RefSeq and is a predicted model, not a curated record.
UUUCAAUUAAUAGUAUAGAAAAGAUACUUGCUGUGAGUGGAGAUGUGGAUGCUGAUGAAGUUCGAUUGGUUGUGGGCAAACUAAGCAAGCGUGACAUGCUGUAACGAAAUGCUGAGCUCUGGUAAACUCAGCCAUGAUGGAUUUCCAGAAAAUGACAAGGGUAUGCAGAGUUUGUAGCUGGAGCAAUUUGGAACAUCACAUGUAAUUUCUUUA